RNAcentral lists this ribosomal RNA (315 nucleotides) under uncultured eukaryote. RNAcentral's name for it is "partial 18S ribosomal RNA". It matches the Rfam family "Eukaryotic small subunit ribosomal RNA", at positions 1470 to 1796 of the family's 1831-position model. The record is from RNAcentral.
CCCUUAGACGUUCUGGGCCGCACGCGCGCUACACUGACCAGUGCAACAAGCAUCCGUCCUUGGCCGACAGGCCCGGGCAAUCUUUGAACGCUGGUCGUGAUGGGGAUAGACUUUUGCAAUUUUUGGUCUUCAACGAGGAAUUCCUAGUAAACGCAAGUCGUCAACUUGCAUUGAUUACGUCCCUGCCCUUUGUACACACCGCCCGUCGCACCUACCGAUUGAAUGGUCCGGUGAAGCCUCCGGAUUGGCGCGCACCUCGGUGCCGCCGAGAAGUUGGCUAAACCUUACCAUUUAGAGGAAGGUGGAGUCGUAACA